This 1194-nucleotide ribosomal RNA is filed under the name Nocardioides sp. LeSa46d. RNAcentral's name for it is "bacterial SSU rRNA". The stretch from base 374 to 1194 matches the Rfam family "Bacterial small subunit ribosomal RNA", at positions 1 to 1319 of the family's 1533-position model. Lineage: Bacteria; Bacillati; Actinomycetota; Actinomycetes; Propionibacteriales; Nocardioidaceae. The record is from RNAcentral.
UUUUUUUUUUUUUUUACCUUGUUUUUAUUCCGGCCCCGACGGGUUUAAACGAUCACGAAGCCUUGGGUGUGAUGCAUGGAGUCCAUGGGAUUCCUCGUAGGUGCACCGAAUGGUUAUCUGAACACGUCCACACUGCGGAUGAAGUUUUUGCUAUAGUCUCGGCGUUAGCUCUCAGCGUAAUCUUACAAGCUUGAGGUACCGCCUAGAGGUUCCGCCCCCCGGAUGUACAGACCACAUCUAAGUAGCACAUGGGCAACUGACAUGGCAGAACCUGUCGACAAGCCUUUGAGUGUGACGGCUUUGGUGUAAGAUCUUCAUACUAUAAGAGAAUACGGUGGUCAAAGAAGACCGCGAUUACGUCCACAGCAGCGCUAUAUUAGAUCCGAAGUGUCAUAAAAUUGGGGUAAAAAGCUCGUAGCAGGUUUUAGUAUGACAGUGAGACACCGGGGUUUCUCGGUGCAGCUUCUAUAUGGGCAAUCAGAGGUUGCAGGGAGAAUAAAUUCUCGGCGAGCGCAAAAAAGCAGAUUCAGGGGAACACCGGUGAUGAAGAGGUUUCUGGGCAUCACUGAGCUGUCAGCAAAGAGGGGAGAACCAGCAUUAGUGCCCCGUAGUACUCCCCGUAAUCAUUGACUCUAGGUGUGGGGUCUUUUCACUGAUUCAGUCCGUAGCUAACGCAUUAAGCGCCCCGCCUGGGGAGUACGGCCGCAAGGCUAAAACUCAAAGGAAUUGACGGGGGCCCGCACAAGCGGUGGAGCAUGUGGAUUAAUUCGAUGCAACGCGAAGAACCUUACCUGCGUUUGACAUACACCGGAAGCCCCCAGAGAUGUGGGUUUCUUUAAUGACAGCGUUCACGCGGUGCAUGCCUGUCGUUAGUUAGCGUCGUUAGAUGUUGGGUUAAGUAACUCAACGAGCGCAACCCUCCUUCCACGUUGCCAGCAACUAAUGGUGGGGAAUCAUGGGAGACUGCCGGGGUCAAAUCGGAGGAAGGUGGGGAAGACGUCAAGUUCUCAUUCCCCUUAUUACCAGGGCUUCAACCAUUCAACAAUGGCCGGUACAAAAGGGUGCGCUACCGUGAGGGGGAGCGAAUUCCAAAAAACCCGUUUCAGUUCGUAGAGGCUAUCCUACUCAGCACACGCCGCCCGUAGAGUUGAUCCUGGCUCAGCACACACGCGCCGCGCCCUACCCCCCCUUUCC